Molecule: long non-coding RNA, 342 nt
Organism: Engraulis encrasicolus (European anchovy)
Lineage: Eukaryota; Metazoa; Chordata; Actinopteri; Clupeiformes; Engraulidae
Exons: 3
Source: RefSeq, a predicted model, not a curated record
UUACUUUAACAAUAAAAUCACAAUAACUGCUUUUUUUUGGCUGUAGGACACAAGUAAAAGGAGAAGAAUGCUGCUCAGCUGGGUCGGCGGUCACACUACUUAUUCAAGAACCUCUUGGAUAUCAUUGGCAUGUAUGCAGCACAGAGUCAUUCCAGUAGGCACGGAGUCGUUCCACGAUGGACGUGAUGACCUGGCACCAAAACCGCUUAAUGUGUAUGAAGCUGUCUGCAUCGAGGGAAGAACCCAGCACUGAAGUGACACAAAUGAAAGAAGGGGACUUCUGCUCUGCUGGGUCUGCGACACUACUUAUCUGAGGAGUCCUCAAACAUCAGGAUGUAGGAA